Molecule: ribosomal RNA, 1352 nt
Filed under: Arthrobacter psychrochitiniphilus
Lineage: Bacteria; Bacillati; Actinomycetota; Actinomycetes; Micrococcales; Micrococcaceae
Description: bacterial SSU rRNA
Rfam family: Bacterial small subunit ribosomal RNA
Source: RNAcentral
AUGACCCCGCUUGCGGGGGGAUUAGUGGCGAACGGGUGAGUAACACGUGAGUAACCUGCCCUUAACUCUGGGAUAAGCCUUGGAAACGAGGUCUAAUACUGGAUAUUGACUUUACCUCGCAUGGGGUUUUGUUGAAAGAUUUAUUGGUUUUGGAUGGACUCGCGGCCUAUCAGCUUGUUGGUGAGGUAAUGGCUCACCAAGGCGACGACGGGUAGCCGGCCUGAGAGGGUGACCGGCCACACUGGGACUGAGACACGGCCCAGACUCCUACGGGAGGCAGCAGUGGGGAAUAUUGCACAAUGGGCGAAAGCCUGAUGCAGCGACGCCGCGUGAGGGAUGACGGCCUUCGGGUUGUAAACCUCUUUCAGUAGGGAACAAGGCCAGCAUUUUUGUUGGUUGAGGGUACUUGCAGAAGAAGCGCCGGCUAACUACGUGCCAGCAGCCGCGGUAAUACGUAGGGCGCAAGCGUUAUCCGGGAAUUAUUGGGCGUAAAGAGCUCGUAGGCGGUUUGUCGCGUCUGCCGUGAAAGUCCGGGGCUCAACCCCGGAUCUGCGGUGGGUACGGGCAGACUAGAGUGAUGUAGGGGAGACUGGAAUUCCUGGUGUAGCGGUGAAAUGCGCAGAUAUCAGGAGGAACACCGAUGGCGAAGGCAGGUCUCUGGGCAUUAACUGACGCUGAGGAGCGAAAGCAUGGGGAGCGAACAGGAUUAGAUACCCUGGUAGUCCAUGCCGUAAACGUUGGGCACUAGGUGUGGGGGACAUUCCACGUUUUCCGCGCCGUAGCUAACGCAUUAAGUGCCCCGCCUGGGGAGUACGGCCGCAAGGCUAAAACUCAAAGGAAUUGACGGGGGCCCGCACAAGCGGCGGAGCAUGCGGAUUAAUUCGAUGCAACGCGAAGAACCUUACCAAGGCUUGACAUGAACUGGAAAUACCUGGAAACAGGUGCCCCGCUUGCGGUCGGUUUACAGGUGGUGCAUGGUUGUCGUCAGCUCGUGUCGUGAGAUGUUGGGUUAAGUCCCGCAACGAGCGCAACCCUCGUUCUAUGUUGCCAGCACGUUAUGGUGGGGACUCAUAGGAGACUGCCGGGGUCAACUCGGAGGAAGGUGAGGACGACGUCAAAUCAUCAUGCCCCUUAUGUCUUGGGCUUCACGCAUGCUACAAUGGCCGGUACAAUGGGUUGCGAUACUGUGAGGUGGAGCUAAUCCCAAAAAGCCGGUCUCAGUUCGGAUUGGGGUCUGCAACUCGACCCCAUGAAGUCGGAGUCGCUAGUAAUCGCAGAUCAGCAACGCUGCGGUGAAUACGUUCCCGGGCCUUGUACACACCGCCCGUCAAGUCACGAAAGUUGGUAACACC